GCCAGGUGUGGUGGUGCACACCUGUAGUCCCAGCUACUCAGGAGGCUGAGGCAGAAGAAUCGCUUGAACCCGGGAGGCAGAGGUUGCAGUGAGCCGAGAUCAUGUCACUGCACUCCAGCCUGGGUGACAGAGUGAGACUCUGUCUCAA
Unclassified non-coding RNA from Macaca mulatta (Rhesus monkey), 148 nucleotides. It matches the Rfam family "Metazoan signal recognition particle RNA". From Rfam's summary of the family: The signal recognition particle (SRP) is a universally conserved ribonucleoprotein. It is involved in the co-translational targeting of proteins to membranes. The record is from Ensembl. Lineage: Eukaryota; Metazoa; Chordata; Mammalia; Primates; Cercopithecidae.